UACGUAGGGUGCGAGCGUUAAUCGGAAUUACUGGGCGUAAAGCGUGCGCAGGCGGUGAGCUGUGUCCGAUGUGAAAGCCCCGGGCUUAACCUGGGAAUGGCAUUGGAAACUGGCUCGCUGGAGUGUGGCAGAGGGGGGUGGAAUUCCGCGUGUAGCAGUGAAAUGCGCAGAUAUCGGGAGGAACACCUAUGGCGAAGGCAGCUCGCUGGGACGUUACUGACGCUGAGACGCGAAAGCGUGGGGAGCAAACAGG
This 253-nucleotide ribosomal RNA is filed under the name uncultured bacterium. RNAcentral's name for it is "partial 16S ribosomal RNA". It matches the Rfam family "Bacterial small subunit ribosomal RNA", at positions 524 to 776 of the family's 1533-position model. The record is from RNAcentral.